ACGGGGUGCAGCAGGCGCGAAACCUCCGCAAUGCACGCAAGUGUGACGGGGGGAUCCCAAGUGCUCUUGGAUUUUUCCAAGGGCUUUUUCCAAGUGUAAAUAGCUUGGCGAAUAAGAGCUGGGUAAGACGGGUGCCAGCAGCAGCGGUAAUACCCGCGGCUCGAGUUGUCUGGGUUUUUAUUGGGUCUAAAGCGUCCGUAGCCGGACUGAUAAGUUCCUUGUGAAAUCUAACAGCCUAACUGUUAGGCGUGCAGGGGAUACUAUUAGUCUUGAGACCGGGAUGGGCCAAAGGUACUCUUGGGGUAGGGGUGAAAUCCAAUAAUCCUGAGGGGACCACCUGUGGCGAAGGCGUUUGGCUAAAACGGGUCUGACGGUGAGGGACGAAAGCCAGGGGAGCGAACGGGAUUAGAUACCCCGGUAGUCCUGGCCGUAAAUGAUGCGGACUAGGUGUUACGUACCCUUCUUGGGUAUGUGGUGCCGUAGGGAAGCCGAUAAGUCCGCCACCUGGAAGUACGAUCGCAAGG
RNAcentral lists this ribosomal RNA (524 nucleotides) under uncultured archaeon. RNAcentral describes it as "bacterial SSU rRNA". It matches the Rfam family "Archaeal small subunit ribosomal RNA", at positions 325 to 848 of the family's 1478-position model. The record is from RNAcentral.